RNAcentral lists this ribosomal RNA (380 nucleotides) under uncultured eukaryote. RNAcentral's name for it is "partial 18S ribosomal RNA". It matches the Rfam family "Eukaryotic small subunit ribosomal RNA", at positions 592 to 976 of the family's 1831-position model. The record is from RNAcentral.
CAAUAGCGUAUAUUAAAGUUGUUGCGGUUAAAAAGCUCGUAGUUGGAUUUCUGCUGAGGACGAUCGGUCCGCCCACUGGGUGAGUAUCUGGCUCGGCCUUGGCAUCUUCUUGGAGAACGUUGCUGCACUUGACUGUGUGGUGCGGUAUCCAGGACUUUUACUUUGAGGAAAUUAGAGUGUUUCAAGCAGGCGCACGCCUUGAAUACAUUAGCAUGGAAUAAUAAGAUAGGACCUUAGUUCUAUUUUGUUGGUUUCUAGAGCUGAGGUAAUGAUUAAUAGGGAUAGUUGGGGGCAUUCGUAUUUAACUGUCAGAGGUGAAAUUCUUGGAUUUGUUAAAGACGGGCUACUGCGAAAGCAUUUGCCAAGGAUGUUUUCAUUGA